Molecule: long non-coding RNA, 539 nt
Filed under: Parus major (Great Tit)
Lineage: Eukaryota; Metazoa; Chordata; Aves; Passeriformes; Paridae
Description: lncRNA (ENSPMJG00000013166.1)
Source: RNAcentral
GAAGACAAGAAAUACUGCAGAGCUCUGCAACAAGAUUUGAGGGCUUGAGAUGUGACCUUUGGCCUUUCUUCCCAAGCGUGUCUACAUGAAUAUGAAAAUACCGACUACAUCUCUUUGAAAAUAUGGCCAUGUAACAGUGGUAGUAAGUCUGAAUUCUCUUCUGGUAAAUGAGCAGAGCUGCUUGAGCCCAUAGAUCUCUUCAAUGACUGGAUGGAACAGAGAAAGAGAACCUUUGUCAAAGAUCAAUUAUUUCUUAAUUGCAGGAUCUAUCACUGGAAGAACAUUUUUUAAGGAAAGAAACAGCAGUGUAAUCACAUCCAGAACUGCUUCAGAGAGCUGGCAUGGACUGUGCUGUCAUCCUACUAAACAAAUGAGGAGCUGAAGAAACAGACUUGGUAGAAUAUUUUUUUAAAUUUUAUUUUUCAAUGAAACUUCAAGUACUAUGGUUUGUUUGACAUUUGCACUGGAAAUGGUAUGGCUCCUGAGAGCAUGGCUACUUGUAUAAGGUAAUGUUUUUGCUUUGUUCUUAGAUAUGUUAG